GAUGAACGCUGGCGGCGUGCCUAAUACAUGCAAGUCGAGCGAACGGACGAGAAGCUUGCUUCUCUGAUGUUAGCGGCGGACGGGUGAGUAACACGUGGAUAACCUACCUAUAAGACUGGGAUAACUUCGGGAAACCGGAGCUAAUACCGGAUAAUAUUUUGAACCGCAUGGUUCAAAAGUGAAAGACGGUCUUGCUGUCACUUAUAGAUGGAUCCGCGCUGCAUUAGCUAGUUGGUAAGGUAACGGCUUACCAAGGCAACGAUGCAUAGCCGACCUGAGAGGGUGAUCGGCCACACUGGAACUGAGACACGGUCCAGACUCCUACGGGAGGCAGCAGUAGGGAAUCUUCCGCAAUGGGCGAAAGCCUGACGGAGCAACGCAGCGUCAGUGAUGAAGGUCUUCGGAUCGUAAAACUCUGUUAUUAGGGAAGAACAUAUGUGUAAGUAACUGUGCACAUCUUGACGGUACCUAAUCAGAAAGCCACGGCUAACUACGUG
Molecule: ribosomal RNA, 497 nt
Filed under: uncultured bacterium
Lineage: Bacteria
Description: partial 16S ribosomal RNA
Rfam family: Bacterial small subunit ribosomal RNA
Source: RNAcentral